CGGAGAUAUAUGGAGCUUGCUUUAUAUAACUUAGCAGCGAACGGGUGAGUAACACGUAGAUAAUCUAUCCUAUACUGGGGGAUAGCCCGAUGAAAGUUGGAUUAAUACCGCAUAUAGCUAUAUAGUUGCAUGAUUAUGUAGUGAAAGAUUUAUUGGUAUAGGAGGAGUCUGCGGCACAUUAGCUAGUAGGUGAGGUAAAGGCUUACCUAGGCGACGAUGUGUAGCCGGUCUGAGAGGAUGAACGGCCACAAUGGAACUGAGACACGGUCCAUACUCCUACGGGAGGCAGCAGUGGGGAAUAUUGCACAAUGGGGGAAACCCUGAUGCAGCAACGCCGCGUGAGUGAAGAAGGUUUUCGGAUUGUAAAGCUCUGUUAGCAGGGAAGAGGAAGGACGGUACCUGCAGAGGAAGCCACGGCUAACUACGUGCCAGCAGCCGCGGUAAUACGUAGGUGGCAAGCGUUGUUCGGAAUAACUGGGCGUAGAGGAUGCGUAGGCGGUUAAACAAGUUAUAUGUUAAAUAUAUAGGCUUAACCUGUAGAAAGCAUAUAAAACUGUUUAACUAGAGUGCAGGAGAGGUAAGUGGAAUUCCUAGUGUAGCGGUGAAAUGCGUAGAGAUUAGGAAGAACACCAGUGGCGAAGGCGACUUACUGGACUGUAACUGACGCUGAGGCAUGAGAGCAUGGGGAGCAAACAGGAUUAGAUACCCUGGUAGUCCAUGCUGUAAACGAUGGGUACUAGGUGUGGGUUGUGAAUAACAAUUCGUGCCGUCGCAAACGCAAUAAGUACCC
RNAcentral lists this ribosomal RNA (790 nucleotides) under uncultured bacterium. RNAcentral describes it as "bacterial SSU rRNA". It matches the Rfam family "Bacterial small subunit ribosomal RNA", at positions 67 to 869 of the family's 1533-position model. The record is from RNAcentral.